UGAAUGAAUGAAAAUUGGAUAAAAAUUAGGUAUCCAAAGGUGUGAGUGUGUGUGUGUGUGUGUGUGUGUGGGUGUUAGCGUGUGUGUGUGCGCCUACAUCUGCGUGCAAUCAGGCGGUAGAGCGGGUUGACUUGUAACCGAAAGGCUGCUCCUUCAAUAUGUGUGUCCCUCCGAGUGUCAUGGUGUCUCUGAGCAAGACACCCAACGCUAACUGCUCCCGACGAGCUGGCUGUCGCCCUGCGUGGUCGCCACCGCCGUCUGUGUCUGAAUGUGAAAUCGCUUUGGGCGAAAGCGUCUGCAAAAUGUAAACGUAUAUUUAGUAUAUGGUGCUUCCCUUCCCCAGAGCGGCAGCAGAUCCUCCGGGGCGUCAGAACAUCGCAGUGAAGGCGGCCCACCGCCGCACCAAGGCCCUGGAGGGGGACGCGCUGCACCUGCCCCCCCCCCCCUCGCCCCUGGACCCCCAGAAGCAGAAGAGCACCCUGUCCCUGCUGAGCGAGGCCGCGGCGCCGCCCGCCGGGGCCCGCCCGCGCGCCGGGCCGCCGGCCCAGCCCCGAGCUGCGGCACGCCACCUCGGACGACACCCUGUCCAGCAGCACGGGCGAGGGGCCCCCCGCCCCCCAGGGCACCUGGACCCGCCAGCGCUUCCGCGCGCCCGCCGCCAAGAACCCCACGCCGCGCGAGCCCGACUUUGAGGCCCGCCGCAGGAAGCGCCGCUCCCGCUCCUUCGAGGUCACGGGUCAGGCACUGCCUCAGCCCAAGACCCACGCCGCCCAGAGGUUCCGCCCCCUGGACAGCACGUCGGACCCCCACCUCCACAUCAACGGACAGCCCCAGCCCCCAUGCUCCGCCCCCAGCUCCGGGGAGUUCCUCCGCUCACCAAAGUCAGGGGGUCCCAAAGCACCCAGCAAACCGGCACCAUCGCAGAGUCCUCCACAGUCCCCCUGACCAACCUGAAGAGGGUGUCCCAGCUGAGGCAGCCGCUCCUCUACAUCACAUCCGGGGCCCAGCGAACACGCAGGCACUGAGCGGCGUGACCCCCGUCCUCCCGUCCCCCCCAUCGCCCAUCACACACGUCAAAAAAUAGAACCGCUCUUAACCACAACCCCCUCGGUAUAAGCAGAACGUGCUAACCGCGCGGGGGAGCCUGCAAGAUGUCUCUUACUAUUAGGAUGCAGAGUAAUCCAACCUCCAGGGAUCCUUUCUAAGGACAGUCGGCCGCUCUGGGCUCAGACAUUAGGCCAGAUAGUACGGCAGUGUUAUGGGCACUAGCUAAACGCUAGCCGUUUGGUCCCGUGCAGGUCCCUAAUUGGCUUAUUUUGGGACUCUGAGUGAUUCCCGGUAGGGCUCAUUGCAGUCCGCUCGCGCCAUCGAGACUAAAGAGGCGUUUUAAUCAGUGGUGUGUGAAAGCUAAUUGUUUUCACAGCAGCAAAAUAUUGUGAAAUGUUUGGGAUACAGAAUUGCUAAUUGGUACAAAAGCCACAUACUUGGUAGAUGAACGUUGUUGACUAUUAGUGACUCAGCUGUAAGUUACUCAGCUAAAUACUAAAGAUAUGGGAUACCUUACAUGCGGGCGAACUGAUCUUUAAGGACAAAAGGGCCGAUAAACAUCACUCUAGAGAUCCACAUCUCGAUAACCAACAGCCAUCCGUAGAACAGCCCCUUCAGUCAUGUUUGGUCUUGAAAUGAACACGACUCAUUCGGCGGUCAUAUCGCUGUACUCAAACAGUUUAAUUCAUUCCCGUAGCCCUUUGCCUUUGUUCCCCACAAACAUGGCUGCUAUGUGUCAUGCUUUUUGGUAAUAACUAUUGCUUACUGUAAGCAAUGGACAUAUAUAAAAACGACUUUGUUAAAUGUGUUGUUUUUUUAAUAUUAAAUGGUUUAUUUAACGGCUGCCUUUUCUUUUGUCACCACAUUGUUGUUUUUAUUUGUUUUCGUAAGUACUACUUUCUAUGCUUUAUUUUGUACAUUCUUUUUUGUAUUCAAAUAAAUUCAAAUGAUACCCACAAGAAAUGUGUUCGACCUUUUUUUUAAACGAAAUGGCUUAUAAAUACAUUGAUUACAUAAUAGUUUCAGUGGCCAAUAUUACUUCUCUGGCAAUGAUGGCCCCUCUAUCGUGUGUGCAACUUCUUGUUACAAAACCAUAGCAGUUAAGUAAUAGACUUUUAAAAUUCAAUCCGCAUAUCUAUCCGCGCUGUGUGUGCAGUGCAGAGGGGAGGGAAACCGGAAGUACCCGCCUCCCCGUUCCAUUUUACGAUUUUGGUCCAAUGAAACGAAGGUUUGUAAGUAAUGGAUUUUAAUCUUGGCCAAUGAACGGGAGGAUUUCACAUUUCUCACGGCAGUGCAUAACAGCUGAUUUGCAACCCGUCGUAGCAACAGAAAGAAGGGAGGAAAAAUGUCGGUGGCUUCGAUUCGGACCGUUCUAGGAUCAGUACAUUUUUAAGGAGACCCAGACGAGCGGUGAGUGAAAGAGCCGUCACCGCUUUCAGGAGAGCUAGAGCUGCGAUUGCAAUAAUCCGUCCGGAACCGAAACUAUACUCUCUAGAAAUGAUAUUAACACGUUUCUACUUCUUAACGGAUGAGGCCUACAGCCAACAACCACACAACGCUCUGCCUGCCGCCAUGUGAUACAAUGAAUGUGUCCAGUAAUUCUAUGUGCAAUGCAAGGUAGAUCAGGCUUGGAACUUUAAGCACUUUAAAACCCGGAGAUCUAUUUUGAGUUUCAUAGACCGCGUUUGCAGCAAAGAUUAUGCGUCCACGGAAGGGUUCUUCAGUUAAGAGGAAUAUCUAUUAAACACUAUUAAAGGAGACGAGGAUCUGAUCCCAGUCUGCUCUGGUUCAAUAAACUUAAAGUACAGUUGCACUCCUUGGAGACCUGCACCAUGCGCACAGUAUAACGCAGUGCAUUACAGUGCUGUCUCACACACGGGGCUAACGACACCCCACUUUAGGGCCAUUUACUGCAAUUCUUUUUUUAUCUUUUACUUUCAAUGAUUAAAUAAACUAUUUAAGUGGCAGGUGUUUACCUCGACCGUUGCUCACUUAACCCUCCUUUCUGACUGUUUCAGGUCGCUCCUCAACAUUUCCAUCUACAUCCAUCGAGAGAAACCUGUACUGUAACCUUAUACAAACCUAUGUGGGCACCUCAUCCAACCGAUUAAGGCCACCGUA
Molecule: long non-coding RNA, 3168 nt
Organism: Gadus morhua (Atlantic cod)
Lineage: Eukaryota; Metazoa; Chordata; Actinopteri; Gadiformes; Gadidae
Source: Ensembl